AAUGCUUUCAAGUGAAAUUGCUGAGGCAAUUCAGGGAGAUGAAAGGUAAUCGCCACCUGAGAGGAUAAAUAAUGCAUCGGGUGCAUGCCCCUGCUUUCUGAUGGGGCAUCCUGAAGGGUCAGAUCCCGUUGCCUGCAAUUUUCAUGCCAUACGCACUGAUAGCAAAUCUCCUCUCCUUCUGGCUGCCAAAACACGUGAGUGGAGAACACUGCUCAAUGCUGUUGGCACAGCUAGUUCAGGCACCUGCCCUGACGUAGCGUAACAGAAGAGAGAGGGGAAACCCCAAACCAGUGUCUUUCUGGAAGAGAAGAGCCAGCCACCCUGACCACAGUCCCCAGACCUCCUGAGCCAUCCUGCAGACCCGUGAAGAAGCACUGGAUAGCCCUGGGACGGGCCCAGCUGAAGACUGGGGUGGAGCAGACUUGCCUGGAGAAAUGAGGCCAGCCUAAAGCUUUGCAGUGGAUGUGAGCAGACCCUUCCCCCGGACUCAGGCUGUUCCAGGGCUGAGCAGAGAGCAUCCAGCAGAUCAAGCCCCCGGUAGCACCGUUCUCUCUCCAGGGGCUGCAGCACUCCAGGUCCUCAUGAGCUCCCACGAGGUCUUUGGGAGCUUCCCGUCUCCCGCUGCCAAAGCCAAGAAAGACGCGAUAGGUGGGAGGGUGAUGUUCAGGCUGUGCGGAGACAGGCUCAGGUGGGCUCAUCUUGUGAAUUCUAAUCAGGAAGCAAAAUAAUAUUUAAUGUGCAACACCCAUCCUAAUUGCUUUAUUAUGUUCAAAUGUCAAGGUUGAAUCUAGGAGUUUCUACUCCUGGUCAAGUGCUCUGGAGUGGAUGGAAGUGGUUAAAAUGUCAUCAAUGUACAGCUAGGAAUCACUAGUAAAAUCCAAGCUAUUCCAAGAUUUAUUGUUUUUAGUAGAGCUCGGUGGUCACAAUGCCAGCAUAGAAGCAAAGAGCUCAGCUCUCUCACGACUGGCCCAUAUCAGCCUUCUUCCCCCCUCUGGAUGAAAUCAGGUCAAGGGUGCAAAGACAGAUGAAGCGUUUCAUGCACGUGGCAUUGAGCUAAAAGGAGCCCCAGAAACAAGGGAGGUGAGGUUCCUUCGCAUCCAGGCAGAACAGGGGCUGGGGGGGUCAUGCAAGCGGGCCCCUGCGGCAUGUGGGGAAGUCCAAACCUCGCAAUCAAAGCCAGACCUCGUGGUGGGAGCUCUGCAGGUCAGGAUGUCAGCUCUGACACGGGACAGCGACUGCCUCCCGUGCACGCGCGCGCCGCGUCCAGAACCCACAGGGAGCCAGGAGCCAGCUGGGACGUUUCCUGGAGCUCAGAGCCCUUGACACCCCCUCUUCUUGGACGGGGCCGACCGUGCUGACAGGGGUGUAAUUGGCAAAAGCAUGACAUCACCCGGGGUCUGCAACUUUAAAAUAAAACAACAGCAGAUGAAAUCAAUCUUUGCUCCAGGAGAGCUGGCUGCUUGCAGCACUUCCCUUCAGGCAGCCGUGGCAGGAGGAGAGUUUUGCUAUUAAAUGUCCAAGAAGUUUCUAUCGGUGAAAACCGGAACACUGAAUUUGGCUUGGCCAUUAGCAUGGCAG
Molecule: long non-coding RNA, 1578 nt
Organism: Cygnus olor (mute swan)
Lineage: Eukaryota; Metazoa; Chordata; Aves; Anseriformes; Anatidae
Exons: 3
Source: RefSeq, a predicted model, not a curated record